CCUUCCGUAGGGUGAACCUGCGGAAGGAUCAUUACCGAGUGAGGGCCCUCUGGGUCCAACCUCCCACCCGUGUCUAUCGUACCUUGUUGCUUCGGCGGGCCCGCCGUUUCGACGGCCGCCGGGGAGGCCUUGCGCCCCCGGGCCCGCGCCCGCCGAAGACCCCAACAUGAACGCUGUUCUGAAAGUAUGCAGUCUGAGUUGAUUAUCGUAAUCAGUUAAAACUUUCAACAACGGAUCUCUUGGUUCCGGCAUCGAUGAAGAACGCAGCGAAAUGCGAUAAGUAAUGUGAAUUGCAGAAUUCAGUGAAUCAUCGAGUCUUUGAACGCACAUUGCGCCCCCUGGUAUUCCGGGGGGCAUGCCUGUCCGAGCGUCAUUGCUGCCCUCAAGCACGGCUUGUGUGUUGGGCCCCCGUCCCCCUCUCCCGGGGGACGGGCCCGAAAGGCAGCGGCGGCACCGCGUCCGGUCCUCGAGCGUAUGGGGCUUUGUCACCUGCUCUGUAGGCCCGGCCGGCGCCAGCCGACACCCAACUUUAUUUUUCUAAGGUUGACCUCGGAUCAGGUAGGGAUACCCGCUGAACUUAAGCAUAUCAAUAAGCUGAGGAACAUU
This 606-nucleotide ribosomal RNA is filed under the name Aspergillus fumigatus. RNAcentral's name for it is "eukaryotic LSU rRNA". The stretch from base 220 to 373 matches the Rfam family "5.8S ribosomal RNA". The record is from RNAcentral. Lineage: Eukaryota; Fungi; Ascomycota; Eurotiomycetes; Eurotiales; Aspergillaceae.